UACGUAGGGGGCAAGCGUUGUCCGGAUUUAUUGGGCGUAAAGAGCUCGUAGGUGGUUCGGUAAGUCGGAUGUGAAAUCCCUGGGCUCAACCCAGGAACUGCGUCCGAUACUGGUUGGCUUGAAUCCGGGAGAGGGACGUGGAAUUCCAGGUGUAGCGGUGAAAUGCGUAGAUAUCUGGAGGAACACCGGUGGCGAAGGCGACGUCCUGGACCGGCAUUGACGCUGAGGCGCGAAAGCCAGGGGAGCAAACGGG
This 253-nucleotide ribosomal RNA is filed under the name uncultured bacterium. RNAcentral describes it as "partial 16S ribosomal RNA". It matches the Rfam family "Bacterial small subunit ribosomal RNA", at positions 524 to 776 of the family's 1533-position model. The record is from RNAcentral.